AUGGCCAUCCGCGUCUUGUUUCCCUCUUCCUCCUCCUCCUCCUCCUCCUUCUCCACCGCCCAGCCGACUAGGAGGACUAGCAGACUGAGGCGAGGAUUCUGCUGCUUCUGUUCAAGCUCAACCACAAGCAGCGAUGAGGUCUCCUCCAGCUCAUCCAUGAUGACUGUGUCCAUCACCGGAGCCACGGGGUUCAUCGGACGCAGGCUCGUGGACAAGCUCCUAUCCGAGGAUCACAAGGUGUGCGUCUUGACACGCUCCACCUCCAAGAACAAGGCCUCCUCUGUUUUCCCUGCUUCGAGGUAUCCGGGCGUGACCAUCGCGGACAAGGAGGGAGAUUGGGAGCGAUGCAUCAGGGACUCAACUGGUGUUGUCAACCUCGCAGGAAUGCCCAUCAGCACCAGGUGGUCACCAGAGGUUAAGAAGGAAAUUCUGCAGAGCCGAGUCAAUGUCACCUCAAAGGUUGUGGAUCACGUCAAUACUAGCACUAGUGCCAGCAGCAAUGGCAAUGGCAAUGGCCCCUCUGUUUUCGUCAGUGCAACAGCCGUCGGCUACUACGGCACCAGCGAGACGGACAGCUUCGAUGAAUCCAGCCCAUCAGGCAAUGACUACCUGGCACAUGUAUGCCGAGAAUGGGAGGGCCGGGCACGGCAAGUGAAGCAGGAGCACGUCCGGCUGGUGCUCAUUCGGAUCGGAGUCGUCCUCGGCAAGGACGGCGGCGCUCUGGCCAAGAUGAUCCCCCUCUUCAUGAUGUUUGCCGGAGGGCCGCUCGGCACAGGAACACAAUGGUUCUCUUGGAUUCAUGUGGACGACCUGGUGGAUCUCAUCUACGAGUCCCUGCGGAACCCGGCCUACACGGGCGUCAUCAACGGCACGGCGCCCAACCCGGUGCGGCUGUCGGAGCUGUGCGACCGGCUGGGGCAGGUGGUGGGCCGCCCGUCCUGGCUGCCGGUGCCAGGGCUGGCCAUCAAGGCCCUGCUGGGAGAAGGCGCCACGGUGGUGCUGGACGGCCAGAAGGUGCUCCCUGCCAGGGCCACCCACCUCGGCUUCUCCUACCGCUACCCCUACGUCCGAGAUGCGCUCAAGGCCAUCAUCGCCAAACAACUCUAG
This 1107-nucleotide ribosomal RNA is filed under the name Triticum aestivum (bread wheat). RNAcentral's name for it is "partial small subunit ribosomal RNA". Lineage: Eukaryota; Viridiplantae; Streptophyta; Magnoliopsida; Poales; Poaceae. The record is from RNAcentral.